CCAGACGACGACGGGUAGCCGGCCUGAGAGGGCGACCGGCCACACUGGGACUGAGACACGGCCCAGACUCCUACGGGAGGCAGCAGUGGGGAAUAUUGCACAAUGGGGGAAACCCUGAUGCAGCGACGCAGCGUGCGGGAUGACGGCCUUCGGGUUGUAAACCGCUUUCAGCAGGGAAGAAGCCCUUCGGGGUGACGGUACCUGCAGAAGAAGUACCGGCUAACUACGUGCCAGCAGCCGCGGUAAUACGUAGGGUACAAGCGUUGUCCGGAAUUAUUGGGCGUAAAGAGCUCGUAGGUGGUUGGUCACGUCUGCUGUGGAAACGCAACGCUUAACGUUGCGCGUGCAGUGGGUACGGGCUGACUAGAGUGCAGUAGGGGAGUCUGGAAUUCCUGGUGUAGCGGUGAAAUGCGCAGAUAUCAGGAGGAACACCGGUGGCGAAGGCGGGACUCUGGGCUGUAACUGACACUGAGGAGCGAAAGCAUGGGGAGCGAACAGGAUUAGAUACCCUGGUAGUCCAUGCCGUAAACGUUGGGCACUAGGUGUGGGGGACAUUCCACGUUCUCCGCGCCGUAGCUAACGCAUUAAGUGCCCCGCCUGGGGAGUACGGUCGCAAGGCUAAAACUCAAAGGAAUUGACGGGGGCCCGCACAAGCGGCGGAGCAUGCGGAUUAAUUCGAUGCAACGCGAAGAACCUUACCAAGGCUUGACAUACACCAGACCGUUCUGGAAACAGUUCCUCCCCUUUGGGGUUGGUGUACAGGUGGUGCAUGGUUGUCGUCAGCUCGUGUCGUGAGAUGUUGGGUUAAGUCCCGCAACGAGCGCAACCCUCGUUCUAUGUUGCCAGCACGUAAUGGUGGGAACUCAUAGGAGACUGCCGGGGUCAACUCGGAGGAAGGUGGGGAUGACGUCAAAUCAUCAUGCCCUUUAUGUCUUGGGCUUCACGCAUGCUACAAUGGCUGGUACAGAGAGAUGCGAGACCGCGAGGUUUUAGCGAAUCCCUUAAAGCCAGUCUCAGUUCGGAUCGUAGUCUGCAAUUCGACUACGGAAGUCGGAGUCGCUAGU
Molecule: ribosomal RNA, 1064 nt
Filed under: uncultured bacterium
Lineage: Bacteria
Description: bacterial SSU rRNA
Rfam family: Bacterial small subunit ribosomal RNA
Source: RNAcentral